Molecule: ribosomal RNA, 449 nt
Filed under: uncultured bacterium
Lineage: Bacteria
Description: bacterial SSU rRNA
Rfam family: Bacterial small subunit ribosomal RNA
Source: RNAcentral
GAUGAACGCUGGCGGCGUGCUUAACACAUGCAAGUCGAACGGGAAACCUUUUAUUGAAGCUUCGGCAGAUUUAACUGGUUUCUAGUGGCGGACGGGUGAGUAACGCGUGGGUAACCUGCCUUGUACAGGGGGAUAACAGUCAGAAAUGACUGCUAAUACCGCAUAAGCGCACAGGACCGCAUGGUCCGGUGUGAAAAACUCCGGUGGUAUAAGAUGGACCCGCGUUGGAUUAGCUAGUUGGCAGGGUAACGGCCUACCAAGGCAACGAUCCAUAGCCGGCCUGAGAGGGUGAACGGCCACAUUGGGACUGAGACACGGCCCAGACUCCUACGGGAGGCAGCAGUGGGGAAUAUUGCACAAUGGGGGAAACCCUGAUGCAGCGACGCCGCGUGAAGGAAGAAGUAUCUCGGUAUGUAAACUUCUAUCAGCAGGGAAGAAAAUGACGGUAC